RNAcentral lists this ribosomal RNA (420 nucleotides) under uncultured bacterium. RNAcentral's name for it is "bacterial SSU rRNA". It matches the Rfam family "Bacterial small subunit ribosomal RNA", at positions 355 to 774 of the family's 1533-position model. The record is from RNAcentral.
UAAGGAAUAUUGGUCAAUGGACGCAAGUCUGAACCAGCCAUGCCGCGUGAAGGAUGAAGGUCCUCUGGAUUGUAAACUUCUUUUAUCUGGGACGAAAACGGGAUUUUUAUCUCAAUUGACGGUACCAGAGGAAUAAGCACCGGCUAACUCCGUGCCAGCAGCCGCGGUAAUACGGAGGGUGCGAGCGUUAUCCGGAUUUAUUGGGUUUAAAGGGUGCGCAGGCGGGAUGUUAAGUCGGCGGUGAAAUUUUGCAGCUCAACUGUGAAAGUGCCUUUNAUACUGGCCUCCUUGAGUGUGGAUGAAGUAGGCGGAAUUGUGGUGUAGCGGUGAAAUGCUUAGAUAUCACGAGGAACUCCGAUUGCGCAGGCAGCUUACUAAGCCACAACUGACGCUCAUGCACGAAGGCGUGGGGAUCAAACA